UCGGACACUGACAGAUCCCUUCCCCGAAGUUUCUGCACACACUUCACACAUUCAAACUUGCUCUGGUUUGUAUCAUGAAUCACAGGCAGAGUUCUAUUUCAGUAUAAAUACAUCUUUCUUUUUUAUGUUUUCUUAAUUUGUUUUGCUGUCAACAUUUCUACACAGCUCUCCCACUGCCAAGCUGACUACCAUCCAGCCCAGUAAGUGCCAGCAGCAUUGCAACUCAUUUAGUCAGUGGCCCAGGGACGUAUCACACAGCCCCGGUCCUGAUUACACAUGAUCAAAGAUGGAUUCUUCAACAGUUUGAUUACAUAUUUGAGCUUGAAUAAAGUCCACAUGCCUGUGAAACGACUAAUUGAUUGGAAUUAGGACUUUUAUGAUGAUUUAAUACAACAAUUGAAAUGUUCUUCAGGGUUGACCUCCGUCAUUGGAGUUGCACUACAGUAUGUGCUGCAUUUGAUUACAGGGAAAGUUGAUUAUCAGAAAAUAUGGUACAUAUGAAGUGAUUUUCUGCCCUAAGUAAUAUUAUUCUGUAUAGUUAGAGCUGAAAAAAAGAUGACAUGGGGACUUCAGUCAAGACAAAAUGCACGAGCUAAUGAGACUGGUUAGGGAUUCAAAUUUAUGGAAAUUGUAUUAAUUACAGAAACCUAUCUUUCAUCCGUACCAUUUAGUGGUGAAGUAAUUAAAAACCAACAAUGACAGUCCCAGCAGUGGAGAAAGCAAACAAGAUCAAAGAAAGUGGAGCCUUCACCAAAAAGUAGCAUGCGAGCUGAACUGGGCAUGGCCACGGGCAACAGGGUCUCAUUAAAGUCAGCCUGUGUUGAUCAGCAAUUAACCUGUUUUGUGUUGCCUCUGAUUGAAACUUGCACAACGCCGUUUUAAGGUUUGUGCAUAAUGUUUGUCUGGAGAUGACCAAGAGGAAGCGCUGCCUCGGGUCAUUUACAAACAUCCUUUGAUUGGUUGACUGGAAAAGGACGAUUGAUUGUUGAGUCAACUGGCCUCAAUAAAUAGUGAAUAAUGUCUUUAUACAUGAAGACAUCUUGAUACUAUUAACAUGGAGGAUGAUCUUCUAAAUGAUGUAAAACAAUGUGUAGGUAAGACAGAGAUUUCAGUUUUAGCUUUUGUUUUCAUUAUUAUUAAGUGAUAAUAAGAGCAAAGGAUGUUUGAACCAAAAUGAGAUGUUACAAACAUUUAUCACCUGUCCAGGGUCUAAGCAAAGGAUGCAAAUACAUACGCAUACCUAAUUCAAUUAAAUCUGUGCUAAUUGGAUUUCUAGGUGAGGAAGAAGUAAUCUUACCUUUAGUGAUUAUUAUUAUAUUAAAUUAUUUCCAAAUGAUGUUCUUGAAUGCUUAACAAACCUUUACUGUGCGUCAUGUCAUGUAAGUGGCUCCAUUAGCUGCUUUUUUCAGGAACUGCAUUAAAUAAGAACACUUCCUUUUACACUGUUUUUUUUUUUUUCAUUUAAGGAAUGCCGAAUCCUGAUUUUACCAGAAAUCUUUACCUGACUCAAACUCUGAGGUGAAGACAAUCACUCAAACCAGUCGAGUGGAGCUUCCAGCCGCUGACAAAGAACCGUCAGAGACCCGACGCCGCGGACAACAAACGCAUGGCCAGUCUUAACUUCUAUUAUGAGCGGUGAAAGUCAUAUUUAAAAUGAGAGAUUAGCCACUCAUCAUAAUAUUGGCGGAUUACUACCUGCGAUGAAAGCAACCCCCUGGUUCUGGGUCGAUAAGAGUUUGACUGCAUUUCGAAUUAAUUUUCCUCCGCUUAAAGAGCUGGACUCCUAUCUUGUUAUUGAUCACUGCGUUAAUCCAUAACCAAGCACAUCCUUUCCCCCGCGGAAAGAGCGGUAUAAUAUAAAACGAUCGCUCUUGACAGCGUGUAUAAAAACAGACUUAGAAGUGAUUAGGGUGCAUUAUUAAAGAACGUGUUACCGGAAUAUUUUCUCGUAUCAGUUCAUUUCGUAUCUGCAGUUGUCCUUUUUUUAAACAAUUUUACGCCAACAGUGGUUCUGUUCUGUAUUCCCUUUGGUCUGGAUUGUGAUUGAUUGAUUUCCCCGACAGGAGGAGCACUUCACACCUCGGCUGCUUUUCUCUGUUUGUCUUUUCCAACAGAGGGACCUCCACAGUGGAUGAAAUUUAGCCCCAACCUCCGACCUUUGGGUCCAGUGUUUGUCUCCAGUCCAGUGACCACAAACAACUCUUGGAUUGCUGUAAAUGUCAGUGCAGCGACGUCUGCACCAUUCUGUCCUGUGAACCCUGCUGCACUCAACCUGCACCAACAGGACACUUUCCUUCAUGCUGAAUUGAUAUAUCAGCUUUCCUCCCUUUGACGCCUCUGUAAACUGAGCGACUGUCAUCAAGCAAAGAGCAACGAGGGAAUGUUUUUACAAAGCUUUGUUUUACUCGGCUCUUCAACCUUUUAAAUUUGUAAUUUGCGGCACUUCUAAUGAAAAUAUUAUUUAAAUUAAUCUCAUUUUGGGGAUUCAAGAUUUUUGUUUUCCUGCCUAAAGAGUGCAGGAUGAGUUACUGGAAGUGAACCGCUUAGCAGACGAAACAGCUCGCACCCUCCGUCAAAAAGCUCAAAUAUAACAGAUUGUGAUUCUUGUUCUGAAGACAUUGGUUGUAAUGCGUCACCGCUUUGAAGCACUUUGUUUCACCCUUCCCCCCACCCAUAAACAUACACACUCCCCUUCCCUCCUCUGCGGGCCUCCCGAGGUUGGUGUCUCUGCGUUAGGACUCUAUUGUUGCCUACUGCUGGAUAAUGCCCUUAUUAAUUGUACCUCUUUGUAAGGUGUCAGCUGUAGCCCCCGAUUGAGAUGGAUGGAUCUCUGGAGUCUGCUCCCUGACCCUCCACAGACCCUCUAUCUCUGCACAGCACACAGAUACAACAGUGAGCGCUGACACACUAUGACGAAAAGCUGAGAUAAAACAGGCGUGUUUUCAUUAUUCCACCGAGAAAAAGAAUCGUGUUUCUAAAAACUAAAGAGCUCUUUUUUUCUGUCAAUUUAAGGUACGCUAGCAUGUGAUGUGUUUUAAUUAUCUGAAUAUCUGAGUGUCUCAUAGCUCAUAGAACUGAUAAAAUAUAUUUUUUUUAUUGAUUAUUUUUAGUGUUUUGCAGAAAUACCGGUUAAUUAGGUGGAUUGCAGCUUCUGUGAGAUCAACGGCAUUAACAUCAAAUCCUUUCCUUCUCAUUAAAGGAAACAAAGUCAAUUUAAUUAAUGCAUAUUAAUCCCCACUGAUGCUCAUUUCAGCUUUAAGAAAAAGCAUGGGACUGUGGUCUUCACAUUUAUCCAUUAAAGGAAUAUAACUUGAUAGCUCUCUGAAUCAACAUAUACACUUAAUACUUAGCUUCAUUAGCUGAAUUGUUAGGAUUAUACCUGUAGACGUGAUUGACAUUUUAAAUGUAUUUGUAUGUAAUCCCACUUAAAGUCUCACGCAUAUUCCAAAUGUAAUAAAUUACACUUAAAAUGUUCACUCUCAUGUCAUUGGGAACAAAUAUACUGAAAAAAUGAUGAAAAAUGAUGAACAUGAUCAUUUCUUUUUUUAAAUGUCUCCUGCUGUUAGCACACUUAACAUGGCUUCAUGAAUGUCAGAGGAUCCAACGCUAACUGACCCGCACAUCCGGAUCAGGCUGUUUGGUUGUUGAAUUUAAAAUAAUGAGUUGAUCUGAAGCCCCUCUGGUGACAUUGUCGAACCAGUUAAAAACAACAUUUGCACAGGGGUGGGAUGUUUAGGGUAUUUUCAUUAGAUGAUACAACAGUUCAGUAGAAAUUUGAGUCAAUGAUGUGAAAAACUUAAUGGCACAUUUUCUCUGAACCUUUUUAUUAGUUCCUCAUACAUGAGGUAACAAAUAUUCUGGUAAACAAAUUUGUUCUUGUCCUUAAAAUCGUCAAAUUGCUGAACAUAUUGUAAUUCUUCCUCCACAGUUCUGCUCUGAAACAACACGGUAUCCACACAAGCAGAAGGAGACUGAAGUAGAGGGAAAAAAGCGCCGACCAGAAAAUGGAGAUCCUCUCCCUUCAGAUCCCAUUUAGAGAGGCCCUGCGCAUUUUUAAAGUGUCAAUUGUUUUUGUCUCUUGAAGUGUGGAUGGAAUGUUUGAAUUCCAGUAUUAACUGUAGUGCCUGCUGAGUUAAAUUAUGGUCCCUGGGCUGUGGGGUGGGAGUAAUCAAUAAGAAUACACAAGGCAGUGUGUAAUGUGUCUGCUCCUAGCAGCAGGGACACUGUCCCCCUUACCCUGUCCCCCAGCAGGUUAGAUAAAUAUGAUACUGAAACAGGGCACACUGGAUUAUAUGAUAUCAAUGUAGAAUCAGGGAAGUGCUAUUACGCUCCCCGAGCCCACUGUGAGUACUAUUGACAAGGUUGGCUUUGAACAUGGGAGCGUAUUGCUCUCUCUUCUCGCCCUCGCUCUCUUCUCUCUCUCUCUCUCUCUCUUCAUGUGUAUAAUACGAGGAACCGCAGGAAUAAAGGGAUCUAUAUUUCACUUAGCUUUGAUUAAAAGGGCUAUUUUAUGCCCAUGGCUUGAAGACGUCUUUAUUGCACCCACAAGUUAAUCUGUGAAGGGCGUGCUGUGAUCUAAAUUUCCAGAUGCUUCUUUGCAUAAAGAGCCAAUAAUGUAGAAUCAAUAUACAAUUGAUUUGAUUUUUUAACGCCCUGCGACACAAGUGCUCUUGACAUUUUCCUAUUGAUAACUGUGUAUUUUCUCUUUCUCGCGUUGAUGUUGCCAAAUGUCCGACCAAUUAACUAGCGUGCCGAUGUUGUUGCCCGGCUGCCUGCUAGUUGCUCGUACAGUAACCUCAUAUCACUGAUCUACUCACGGUAUUGAUUAACUCUCCCUCCUCCGCGGUGAAAGGAUCAAACCUGGCAUGUCUAAAAGGCCAUUAUCAGCGUCCACUUCACAUAACCUGCCACAACCUGAUACAGACCCUUUCACAGGUCGCAACCUAUCUGCCCUCUGCAGCCACCGUACCUCCUCUGACCCCCCAACCAUCAUUAUCAUGCUUGUGUUAAAUGACAUACAGGUCAAGAAAAUGGCACCGUGUUGAUGUCUCACAUGUGAAUAAUCCAUGCAUCGCUGCAAAAUGUCAAGCUUCUGCUUUAACAAAUAGAUUCUACCAUAGUGGCCAAAGACAAUGUAUUUAAAAAAAACUGUCCGAGAUGGAGCACAUUCUCUUGAUUAAAUUGGAGGUGCAGGUGUAAUUUUCAUAGCCUGUGGCAUUUUGUUUAAAUGUGUCAGGUCCUAAAUAUCACUACAGUUUGUGAAGCAUUAUUUCUAGAAACACUUUCACAGUGAGACAAAAUCACUUAAAGGUUUAAAGCAGCAUUUCAUUUGUACACUUAAUUUAGACAUUCAGUCGUCCCUUUAUUUCAAUUAAAACCCUAACAAGUGUUCUGGGGUCUUGAUUUGUUGCACUGUUACAAUUUCCAAAGUGCUUUUUUUUAUUUUUUAUUCCGAGCCAAAUCUAGAUAUUAAAGCCUUUUUUUUUUUUAGGCCAGGUAUUAGUCACAUCGCGGUUGCUUUCACACAAAAGAUUUGGCAGAAGCCAAUUUGCAUAAGGUCAGAGUCAAGCUCCUGAUGGAAGUUGUGCAGCAUCCCCGUCUCUUAGCAACACUCUUCCCCUCUUGGUGUCUGUGUUGAAUUGACUGGUCUUUGGCACUCAUCUUUCACCAAGAAAAUUCAUAAUGAAAUACCACCCGACAACCUGCCUCCAUCACCGAGAGGCACUCCUCGCUUUCCUCCUGGGUGACAGUACUUUUACACCGGCAUCAGUAAACGCUCAGCAGAGAAGAACGCUGCUUUUCGCUCAUAUUUGCGGGCGACUUUUGGUUUAAGGAGGUGGAUAAACAUGUUUAUUAAGAAUUGUGCCAAGAUUAGAGGCAAAUUAGCAGGUAAUUGGAGACACCUGCAAAACAAAGGGGAGGAUGGUGGAGGUGGUGGUGUGGAGCACGAUGAAGGAAGGGAUUGGUCUUCCGGGCUGGCCUCCGCCCAUUUAUUGGUGGGUGGGGUGAGGGCGUUUAGAAAUGACGUUUUGAGAAAAUGACUUUUGUCCUCUUCCGUGUAGAACAGCAUCCAGAUGCUGCCAAGAGAUGUUAAUAGAGGGUCACCUUUUGGACAAUAGUAUCCAUCACAACUGCCUCCGUACUCCAAGCGCGACGCUUUCUUGGUCAAAAGAAGGAAUGCGCUGCAAUUACUGUUGUUGUUUUUUUGGCAAAGGCAUUCAGCCACAGACUAUACUGCAAUUAUCGCUCUGCUGAUGAUUUCCAUCAUCUUGGUCACAUGUGGUCACAUGUGGUCUUUGCCCAGCACAUUUGAACUUUCCGUGAGAGGUGAAAUCCGUACACAUGUAUCGCCCACUCCUUUACAUCUUCCUCGUCCUUUUAUAGUCACACGUGUCGUCGUGCUCUUCCUCUUCGCGUCGAAGUCACGACAGGUGCCGCGCGGACAUUAAACCCGCCGCUUUGUGUUUUACAGCGCGCCGCGUUUCACCGCCUGUGCACAUUUCAGCUUUCCACAUCCACGCACCGUUCAACCGGCUCCCGGCACUGCAAUAGUUUAUAUUAAAUCUAAAUUAUUUCAAAAUAUUUCUAAUUUAUUUCAUAGUAUUAUUAUUAUUAUCAAAUUAUAUUUACACAUUUAAAUAUGAAAAUAUAAUGUUUUUUUUAUGUCGGGCAGAGACGUGUUCGAUUCAGGUUGCAGAAAUAUAAAUGUGAUUUCUGUGCUGUUAUAAAAUAAUAAAAGAUAAAUAAAUAAAUAAACGGCAUGAAGCUCAUUCACCCGGACUAAGGGCUGUUGCAUGGUGACCACAUGCACUGUUGAUACAAAUUGUGACAGGUCGGUAUUUUUAUUUUAAUGACGAGUUACCGACUGAGAGCCAAAGGACGAAGAGGCAUCUAAAUACAUUUGUUUUUUGUUCUAUUUACAUUUUAAAUAGUUCAUCAUCCACUGGGAAAAAUCGACGGAAUUUGCUCUCACCCGCGUCUCAAUAUAUUAAUUGGUGUAUUUAAAAAAAAAAGAAGAAGACAAAAUAAACUGUCUGUGCCGACGCGGAACUUCCCCUCUCUGUGCGCAUCGCGCGCGCUGCCGCUCCGUGUCCGACAUCCCGAUCGCGCACGCGGGGGGUUUUCUCCCCUCGUUGCUGUUUCUCGCUGCCAGGGGUCGUCCGGUUCUGUCGCACGCUUUUAGUGACUUCAUCAUAACCAAAUGACUAAUUGUCACCCUUUAAUUGCGAUUUAAUUUGAUCCCUCAGGCCCCUGCAAAUCCGUGUAAAAUAACAGAAUAGAUUGCUGCCAAUAGCGCACCUUUGGUGAAUCCUAUUGAUUGAUGCACGAGAGAGAGAGGGAGAGAGAGAGAGAGGCAGAGGGAGGCAGAGGGAGCGCACCUGCCUCUAUCUGUCCAUCUCGGGAUCAUGAACACACCAAGUGGGUCUAAUUUUCUGAGACGUUCAGCUGGGAUGUGUCUCAAUUGGGACUGAGAUCAGGGGCUGUGAUUGUCUAUUGCUUUAGAUUGGCUCGUUCAGUGCAAUUCUGGAAACUUUUAUUGCAAUCCACCGAUUGUAAUGAUGGAGAGCCCUCGAUGUGGCAGCACUGAUUACAUCAGCCCGUCUCUACCUUUCCUUCAUCUCGGCUAUGUAUUCCGUCCACCAACAGCUAAAGCUUUCACGAGCUCGCCAUUACUGACCGACAGAUGAACGAUCUGAUCUGAGUUUUUAUUCUGCUCGAUAAUCUGUUGACCUCAUUGCAUAAUUUGAAGAUCCCCCAAAAGAUGGAUUCAAACUAUGGCCAGAUGUUUACAUUAUGCUUUGAAAUUACAAAGCUCGUUUCCUAUUGGCCGUUGAUCUUUGUAAUUUACUUUUCAAAAGAGCACGAGGCUCCUCUUCACCAGUUGCGAAAUCAUUUUCCCAUGCAAAGUUAGCAGCGGGGUAAAAAGUAUUCAGAUCAUACUUUGGUUGAAGUAGAAAUGCUGUUCACAUUUCAGAAAAGGCCCCUUGUAAUAAUUAUAGAACUUAAUUAUUUUACUCACAUUAUUAAAUAUUGUUUUUAUUUGUAAUGCUGCAUUCAAUCUAAUGAGAUAAUUUUUAUAAAAGAGAAAAGUCUGUGAAGUCUACUACAGCUGCAUAGUCGUAGAAUUCAAGUAAAUCCCUCUGAAAAGUAGAAGUAUUGCCGUUCCACAAAGUUCUUAAAUUGACUUAGUUUCAGCUAUAAAACUAGGUUUUGUAAACUUUGUUUAUGCAGAAUCAAAUUAUUCUUCCUACAGUUCCCACCGGUGUUUAGAUAAAAGAAUAGAUUCAUACAGACACGCACACGACACAGUCUUAUCUGCAAAUUGUACAUAAACUUAAACCAAAAACCAAAUGACUUAUUGUGAUAAAUGGACUUGUAUAUUAGUUUAUUCAUCAAAUUAUAACAUUGGAUCACAAUUACUGAUACGUUGAUUUAGCAUGUUUAGGUGGUAAAGCACAACCCCAUGUUGUUUAAAAUGUACAUUUGCAAGUCCUUUUAACACUCAUGUUUAGAGUAAAUGAAAUGAAAUACCAGUACGUCAAAAUUGUGCUGAAGUAGCUGAGUAAAUGUACUUAGUUGCUUCCCCCCACUGCAGCUCACAAUAAAUCACACUCAUGUGUCUGCAGGCGAUGAUCACUAUCAGCAUGUGAUUUCCAGCAUGUUCUUGUGAGAAGCUUCCCUGUGACAUAUGGAGAUGCUUCCUUCCACAGCCACACCUGACUGAUCCUCUCUCCUCUCUCUCUCUCUACACAGAUGAUAUCACACAGCUGACUGCGACAAGAUUCCCAAAUGGCUCUCCCUUACAGUGAGACAUGUCAUCUGACCAUGUCGCCCCUGCUAAAUCCAAAUAUUGUGCAUUGUUGGUAAAGAGAGGGGUCAGGCAACUUGUGCGUCGUGUUUUCCAGGCUCUGUUCUCUAAUUAAGUAUUCAUGAAACAGCAGUGGGAGCAAAGUGUAGGUUUACACCGGCGGUCGGGACGGCAUCACCCCCACUUCCCAUGUGUAAUGCCCCCCCCCCCACACUCCCCCCCCGGCUGGCAGACAGGCCAUCAUUCCUAGUGUACUCCCAGCAAUGAUAUCAGAAAGGUUUUUUGGUCAAGCCAAAGAGAGGUCACUCUAAUAAUACCCAGGGUCAGUGGUGGGAGCCGGCGAGUCUCCCAGUCAUUAUUCAUUUGUUCACAGAGUUAAUGACAGUUGCAGGGGGACGAGAACUUGGAGCCAGCAGCCAUGUGAUGUCACCAACACAUGCCAAGGGAUUAGGAGGGCAGGCAGGGGACAAGAAGUGUGGAUUAUACAGGGAAAUGGAACCACAGCAACAACCUUUCGUGCUCCGUCAACCAACUCUGCAUGUUUGCUGCUGGAGUUAUGACAGACGCACACACAGAUGUCACUGAAUUAUGACAAUUGGCUCAUAUUGUAGCAACAGCGUUGCCGAAUAAAGGAAUAAAAUAAACCGCG
This is a non-coding RNA of Gasterosteus aculeatus aculeatus (three-spined stickleback), 9458 nucleotides long. Lineage: Eukaryota; Metazoa; Chordata; Actinopteri; Perciformes; Gasterosteidae. The record is from RefSeq and is a predicted model, not a curated record.